GAAAAAAGAAAAAAAAAUUUAAGUUACUAAUUAAGAGUUUUUGUUUUUUUUAAUUCAAAUCAUUUGUGUUUUUUCAUUAAUUGAUUGAUAAUGGGUUUUCUUCACAAGCUAUGGGACGAUACACUUGCCGGCCCGGCACCGGAAUCGGGGUUAGGAAAACUCCGCAAGUAUAAUUCGUUCGCCGGACGUUCUACCUGCAGUGCUCCGCCGUCUCCCACCAAGCUCGGCCUUCACCAUCACGGCGGCGGCGCUAGUGACGAUCUGAUGCCGGUCUCCCGGAGCAUUACGAUACUCCGUAGCAACUCAACCUGUGGCCGUUCUGGCAAUUCUACGCCGGAUUCUGGAUCUGCUCCAUCUUCUCCGGCGUUUUCUAGCGCUCCAAAUUCACCAUUUGCACCAAGCACGCCACGGAGGAAAUACAAGAAGCAAUUAAAGGGAAAAGCGAAUAUUGAACCUUGUUCUGCCAACUAUGAUUGG
RNAcentral lists this unclassified non-coding RNA (477 nucleotides) under Hevea brasiliensis (rubber tree). The record is from RNAcentral. Lineage: Eukaryota; Viridiplantae; Streptophyta; Magnoliopsida; Malpighiales; Euphorbiaceae.